UACGGGGGGGGCAAGCGUUGUUCGGAAUUACUGGGCGUAAAGGGCUCGUAGGCGGCCAACUAAGUCAGACGUGAAGUCCCUCGGCUUAACCGGGGAACUGCGUCUGAUACUGGAUGGCUUGAGUUCGGGAGAGGGAUGCGGAAUUCCAGGUGUAGCGGUGAAAUGCGUAGAUAUCUGGAGGAACACCGGUGGCGAAGGCGGCAUCCUGGACCGGUAUUGACGCUGAGGCGCGAAAGCUAGGGGAGCAAACGGG
This 253-nucleotide ribosomal RNA is filed under the name uncultured bacterium. Its description in RNAcentral is "partial 16S ribosomal RNA". It matches the Rfam family "Bacterial small subunit ribosomal RNA", at positions 524 to 776 of the family's 1533-position model. The record is from RNAcentral.